Vicia villosa (hairy vetch) is the source of this 5690-nucleotide long non-coding RNA. RefSeq lists it as uncharacterized. NCBI's taxonomy places the organism in Eukaryota, Viridiplantae, Streptophyta, Magnoliopsida, Fabales, Fabaceae. The record is from RefSeq and is a predicted model, not a curated record. The transcript has 3 exons.
UAAGCAUAACUUAACUGUGAUAAUAUUUUGUUACAGAGGCGGAGGUAUGUGUGGACAGUGGCCCCCCCCAAGUUUUUUUUUAAUUUUUUUUAAUGUAUGUGAAAAUACAAAAAUACCCUUUAUGAAAUUAAAUAUUUACAACCUUGCCACUCAACCCUAAAAUUCUCUUCUUCUCCCAUAUUACGGCAAUUUCCCCUCUUUCUCACUUUUUUGAUUAAAAACAUAAACUCUCUCCCUCUUUCUCUCCUUUUACUACUCUUCCAUUGCUUGUCUUACAUAUUUGUUCUUUUUUCUCCAGCUCUUGAGAUUGAGGAUUAGAGGCCAUUUCAAAUGCUGUAGCUACGAUUAGAGCCACCGCCACCGACAAGAAAAGUCCAAGAGAGGCUAUUGAAUUUGUUUUACAGCUAUUAAAGGACAAGAUUGAUGAUGAAGAGUAGAAAAAUUGAUUCUUUUUUCAAGAGGAAAGAAAGAGAUGAAGAAAAUAAUGCUUCUAUAUCAGAACCUCAAACAGUUUUAGAGAAUCCAAGAACUGAAGAAAAUGUGAAUAGAGUUUACCCGGAUCCGGAUGACAUUGAGAAUUCUUUAGAACGUGAUCCUGGAAAACGUCCUUCAAUGUGGGAAUAUCCACUAAACCAAAUGGAUGAAAUACGGAGAGCUUAUUUGAAAUGGGGUCCAUAUCAAAUUCAAUUAGAGCAAUAUCCAUUGUCUGGUAAAGAAGACCAUAAAAGAAGAUUUCAAUAUGCUUGGUUUAGCAUUUUUCCUUCAUGGUUAGAAUAUUCACCUUCAGAAGAUGCGUCUUAUUGUUUACCAUGCUAUCUUUUUAGCAAAAGACCAAGUGAGAAUUAAUUUGCAAUUUCAACUUCGACAUUUUAUUAUUGACGCUCGUCAAGCAACGAGUUUGAAGAAUUUAUCAACUAUUCAAGACUUGUGUUCCUCUAUGGUUGCAACUAGAAAGAAUGAAAUUUACUAUUUGAUUGAUAGAUUGGUCCGCCUUGUCAUGACUCUUCCUGUAUCUACGGCCACUACUGAAAGAUCUUUUUCGGCAAUGAAAAUUAUCAAGACAAGAUUGAGAAGUAAAAUGGAAGCUGAUUUUUUAGGAGAUAGCAUGAUGAUUCACAUUGAAAGAGAAAUUGCUGCAAACGUUGAUUCUGAGACUAUUAUUGAUGAUUUCAAGCUACUCAAAGAACGUAGAGCAUUGUUAUAAGGUAUUUUUAAGUUACACACUUUGAAAAUUUCAUGUUCAGCUUUAUGUUUAUUAUAACUUAAAUAUUUUAUAUACAUUAUGGUAUGAAUAUUUGAUCUAUAAAUUAUAAUUUAAUUUUGUGGCCACCCCAAACUUUAUAGUCUGGCUCCGCCACUGUUUUGUUAUGCUCUAUUUAACCAAGAUUUAGUUAUAACAAAAUUUUAGAUUAUUUCCGAUAGUUCAAUUUAUACUCUCACAAAAACCGAGAUGUUUUUGUGCAACUAUCAACUUAGAUCUCACUUAAUGGAGAGAAAGCCAUUUAAAUUAUACAGUAAUAAUGGUGAUAUUUAAUGAUGAAGAUAGUGGCAUGAAAUGCGGAAAAUUUCCAAAAUCCAUGAAACUUGUGAUGUUUAGAUUCAAUGGCCCAGUUUACAAAGCAGGUUAUUAGUGACUUAUUAAUAAUCACUUUGUUAAUUCUAUACUGUUGCAACACAGUACACUAUAUUAUUGGGGUGGUGAGCAAUAUUUUAUGGUAUUGAGUGUCUCUGAGAUGCAUAAUUGUGUCCCCACCUUAACAUAAAGUGAUUAUUGAUGUGAUGAAAAGAUAACAAACUUUAAAAAAAAGUACCAUAGAGAUGGGCAACGAAGUCUAAAAAAAAUGAAAAUUUGUAAAUUUUACAAAAAUUAAAGUCUCACUGUUCCUAAAUCCUAAUCCCAAUUAGUGAGAGAAAAAAAGCCAGCUGUUGCCAAUGUCAUUUGUUUCAUCGUUUUAUGAUAUAGUAACCAACACACAUGAUGGGCUACCCUUCAACUUUUUGUUUUUUCCUUAAUUUACUUUCUUUAUUUAUUCUGCUUUUCUUUUUUAAAAUAUUUUUAAUCUUUUCAAAUUUAUAAUUAUUUAUUGGUGAACACUCCGGUACCCUUGAGUUUAGAUGGGUACCGGUACCCUCAACCAAUCAAAUGCUAUAAUUUCAUGCCAUGUCACUUAUUUAUUUUAAUUUAUUUUAAAAUAAAUUAACAUUUAAUAAUAGUUUACACUAAAGGUACCGGUACCCAAUUUGAAUACAUGGGUACCAAAGAAUUUACCUUAUUUAUUUGAGUUUUUCUUUUAAAAUUUAAACCAUAUUCCUUCAACAAUCUUUUAGAAUCAUACUCUCUAAUUUUCUUGCGUGCCAUUUCUUAUUAAUUUAUUUCAUCAACAAGCUAAUCUAAUUUUCAAAUAAUUCAUUCAUUUUAACAUAUUCAUCAUCCACUAAUAAACAUGCAAUAAGCUCGCAUAAAAUUUGUCAAAAAUUUAACUUAAUAUAAUUUUUAAUGGGAAUGAAUACCCAAUUCAAAUUAGUUUUAAAGAACUUCACAAUUAAGAUCAGAAUUAAAGGCCUAUGAAUCAACAAUUAAAAAAAAAUUAGUGUUUUUCUUUUCUUUUUUAGGUUUGUCUUACGAUCAAUAAGACAAACUUCAUCAAUAAAAAAUAGGCUUAAAUAUGUUAUUGGUCCCUCUAAAUAUAGUAAAUUUUAUUUUUAGUCCUUCUAAAUAUUUCCUUCAAUAAAUGGUUCCUAUAAAAAUUUUCAUCCAUAAAAUUCGUCUCUAAUGCUAAAUGGAGUUAACAGCUACUGACGUGGUCGAACACCUGUAUUUUAAAUUCAUUUAACUUUAUUUUUUAUGAUUAUAAUAUACUAAUACAAAUUCUACGUGGUAUAUGCUUACAAAUAUAAUCGUUCACAGGGGCGGAUUCACAUAGAGGAGAGUGGGGGCUCAUGACCCCACAAAGUUUUUUUUUUUUUUUAAUAAUUACUAUUAAUUAUUUGUUCAGCCCCAUGUAACUCCAACAAACCCACUAACGUGUACUAUGUAACUACCCAAUCCUAUUUUAACUCUUCAAAUUCUUUUUCUUAAUUAUUACCAUUUAUUAUUUCUAUUUUUUUUAAUUGUUUUAACUUUUCAAAUUCAAUUAACGUGUACUAUAUAACUACCCAAUCCUACUUUAACUCUUCAAAUUCUUUUUCUUAAUUAUUACUAUUUACUAUAUCGAUUUUUUUUAAUUGUUUUAACUUUUCAAAUUCAAUUACAAUCUCCACUCAUUCUCUCUCUUAACUUUAUUCACAUUCUCUCACAAUUCUUACGGUUUACUCUCACAAUUCUUACGGUUUACUCUCACAUUUUGACAUAACACUUUUUUGUUUCUUCCUUUUCCAUUAUUUCAUUCAAGUGUUCAAGUUCAACAUCAAUUUAGUUUUGUGAGUCUGUGGCUUUGUCUAAUUGAGUUAUUUGCAAGUGAUAUAUAGAGGUAUGUUUUUUCUUUAAUAAUUGAACAUUUUCAAAAUAUGAAAACUCGUAGAGGACAAUUGUAAGUUUUUUUAUAUUUUAACUUUUUUUGUCGUUAUAUUAUGUAUUUUGGAACAAUUUGAAAUAUUUUUCUUUAGUCAAAAUAUAUCCAUUAUUUUUAAGCCCCCACCAUAGAAAAGUUCUGGAUCCGCCACUGAUCGUUCACCCCCAAUUUUUCAUUAACUUAUGUUUCUUCUUCAGUGAAUGUCGCCAACAUUCAUGGUUGUUUUCUUCAUCGCUGCCUGAAACUUAAAGGUGUUUCUUUUAUUCCAUGGGGUUUUCAAAGUCAAGCUCAUCUAAACAGGUUUAUUUUUCAUCUUCUUCUGUUAAAUCUCGAGCUGGUCGAUUAUGUGGUUGCAAGGGUCGAAUGGUCUUUUACCAAUGCAAGAAGGCACCCAAUAAAGGGAGACUAUUUUGGAGAUAUCCAUUUUGGAAUAACAAUAAGACUUGUGAUUUGUUUAUUUGGGAUGAAAAUAUUGGAGAAUCUAGAAAUCAUGAUGGGAUGUUGUUGAAGACAAAGGUUGAGUAUAUGGAAGCAACAAAAUAUUUGAAAGAGUUUUAUGAGCAUACAAAGAAGAAGAACAAAAGGCUGAAGACCAAACUCAAAGCAAAGGAAUUUUCUGGAAAAAUGAAAAUGUUGUGUCUUGCUAUCAUCACGAGGGAGAUUCAUAAUCUCCCCAAACUCUUUUACUGCUAGAGUUUCCUAUGCCUUUUUAGUUCAGAUUGAAUUAUUCUAUCAGUGAGGUAGAUAAUUGAGAAGAACAUCUUAACUAAUGAUGAAUACACCUUUCCUUGAGGGGCUACGGAGAAAGUUGGAUAGGUUAAGUUCUUAAAAAUAUUUAAAGAAUUCACAUUCUUUAAAAGCUCCCAAAUCCAGGGUGUGAAUUCUUAGAAGAGUUCGAUCGAAAAACUCUUGGAAAAAUCUCACUUCAUGUUGUUUGGUGGUGAAGAAAUUAGAAAAGGGGCUGGUGGAAAAUAUUAACCUUUUGGGAGACAUGAUGGUUUUGAAAUAAUAAUCUCACAUUCACAAUAUUUGGAAGAGAAUAUGCAAUGCAAAGAAGUCAAAGAUGAAUACCUAUUUAUAGUGUGCUUCCUAAUGAUUUGAUUGUGUAUUUUUGGCAAGCAAUCAAUGGAGAUUUUGUUGAUUCAAAAUUAAAUCAUGCAAGUUUUUUCCAUAUUGAGUGUGUCAAUCAAUUGGCUAAUGGCCUCAAUCGAUUGGUUAGUCAAAUCUUUCUGAAUUUUAAGCGUUCAUCAUCAAUGUUGGGAUUUGAUUGUCUUGGAACACACAUUUAGCUUGAAUUUGAUUUGAUCAAAAAACAUGAGUGCCAAGCUUUUCCAAUCGAGUGUCAUAUAGUGUUAAUCGAUUAGGCUUAUGUAAGUGAACCUCCUUAGUGCAUUUUGGGUCUUGUGCAGGAUUUGUUGCUUUUCUGCACCAUUAUUCAUCCUUAUUUGCACCCUUUUCUAUAAAACACUUAGAAACUUAUCUUUUUGGUUACUAAAUAUAAUUUAUUGAGAUGAGCAAAAUUAAAAAUAAUAUUUUAAAGGAUUAAUCAGAGUUUUUCGAUCAUUUCAAUCUUAAAAUACGGUACUAAAAAAUAGACCUUUUUGUAAUACAAUGUUAAUCGUAUUAAUAACUCGUUGGUGGGCGCUUUUUUUGGUGUUUAAUGAUAAAUAUUUCACUACGGUAUAGAUAACAACCGUAGUAAAAUAUUCCUGGAGUGAAAGGGUUUGAAUUCCAACACCAACAAUUUUUCAUUUAUUGGGACAAAAUGGGUAUAUCACCAUGGUUUUUUUAAUCAAUUGUGAUGUAAAGUGAAAUUAUUUCAUCACGGUUCAUUUUAUCAACCAUGGUGAAAUAUGUUACAUAUUUAUUUAAAAACGAAAUUAUAUUUUGCUCUAGUACAUAACAAUCAUCUCUCUCAAAAGAAAACCCUAACAUCUAUUUCACUCGUCUCUCUAAAAAGAAAACCAUAAUAUCUAUUUCACUCGUCUCUCUAAAAAAAAGUAACAUCUAUGUCACUCGUCUCUCUCAUAUGGAAACCCCAAACUUAUGCAGAAAACUCGUCUUCUUCAAUUCUUAGGAAAUGGCUACUUUACAGGUUCGUUUUCACAAUAGUUUAUGUUUCUAAAUCUUUUUAUCUAUUAUUGUUUAUGUUUCAAUAGCCCGUUUCAUAAUGUUUGA